Long non-coding RNA from Panicum virgatum (switchgrass), 6204 nucleotides. RefSeq lists it as uncharacterized. NCBI's taxonomy places the organism in Eukaryota, Viridiplantae, Streptophyta, Magnoliopsida, Poales, Poaceae. The record is from RefSeq and is a predicted model, not a curated record. The transcript is spliced from 2 exons.
GAAGAGUUAUGAUUUUUCAAAGAUUCAACUGAAAUAAAUUAGAAAAGGAAAAAACAAAACAGGGUACUGUAGCAAUCCCGGGGUUACUGUAGCAAUCCUGGCCGCACAGUGCCAUGCAAAACCGGGCUGGACCUAGGGUGAACGGUUUCGCAAGCUCGAGGGGCUAGAUGUCCGGUUUCUAAGUUCAUGGAUCUAUUUGACACAGCGCUGCAAGUUCAGGUGACCACGGUGCAUUUUACUCGAGAAACAUUAUCACGUGACUCACAUUAUUGCUUGCUGCAUUCGAGGUAUGGGCUUGUGCCUUCCGGUCAUUCGGCCGUGACGUUGGCUACAGUUCGUAGUACUCCGUUUCUUGGUCUGGGUUUCUCGUUUCAUCGGUGCCGUGCGCUUCUUCGUCUGGGUUUAUUGGAUCCAUCCGAUGGUAAAAGAAAUACAUGCGAUAUUGUAGUUUCAGCAAGAUUUCUACUUUUGAUUGCAUGACAAAUAGGUCAGGUGGCCUGAAUGUCUUCCCUUCUGGCGAGUUUUCAAUUUGAUUCUCCUUUUUAACCUGGAGAGUAUUCCAUCUUAAUCCUCAUUUGUUUAGGCUUAAUAAGGUCUUGUGCUUAACAUGAUAACCUGACAGACCUCAUAGAAGCUUUAUUUUAUCUGAAACGACGGCAUAUCACCUGUUUAAUUAGAUCCUUACGAAUGGAUUGCAUCUCUCUUUGAGCACGGCCUGUAUUUGGUUGGUUACACUAUAAAUUAUUUAUGCAAGGUGUGGUUGAUAGGUGUUUCAUUUAAUAGUAAAUCUUCAUGCUAUGCUGAAAUUGGUACGCAUGGCCCAGCCAAGUUCCAACCUACUUUAAAUACACAAAACAUUUCUCCACAUCACAAAUCAGUCCGGCAAUCUGUUCUUAUAAAAGUUAAAAAUAGUACCAUUCACGGGAAAACAUAAAACCUGGUGCAUGCGUACGUACUCCCUUUCUAUCAUUUCAAGAUUUUUAUUUUUACCAUGAUCGGGGGCAUUUAUUUCCUUUGCUUUUCUCCAAUAAACAGUACUGUACAUAUUCUGAGCAUAUGUCACUUCUGGAGUUACCAUAUAUUGCUUCAGAUCAGAUCACCACAGUCAUGCUUUCCUUUUAUUUGUCACUGAUGGAUUUGGAGGUUACAAAGAUAAUCGAACUAUGUAUAUGAAUUUUUCAAGUCAAUUAUUGUUAAGUCCAGUUCUGUUUCAGUUUCCUCGUUUCCUUGAUGAUUAAUAAGAAUCUGAAAAAUUGCUAGGAGCUCAUAAAUAUCUAUAUUCAGGGACAAACUUUGAAAAGACAAAACUAGCUAUAUUUUGAGCAGAGGUAGAACAAAUCUUGCUCAUUAGAAUAUUAAAAUCUGGAAUUAUAUACCUCUUUUGACCUUGCACCUACAUGUGACAUGCCAUGUCUAUCCUCUACCUUCUGCAUUUCGGCAUCAAGGGACACUAACCACACAGCAAACCAACAUUAUAUUCGAGAGCAUUAAGCAUCUCUGGUGGCACCUCCAUUUUGCGGCUUCGUGAUCUUCUGGUCUGGGGGUAGUUGAGAUUGGUUUGUUCUAGCAAAUGACUACAUUUCUAGAGUGUGUUUAGCACCAAACACUAAAAAUUCGUGUCUCUGUGGUAAACUUCACACUCUAAAGUGUCUAAGAGCACAGUUUGCCUAAAGUCAUAGAUCAUUAGAGUCAUGUAGUCUGCAAGGUUACUCUUUAGGUCGAGCUAUCUUGUAUACUAGUUGAGAUUUUCGUUUAGACAAUGUCCACGUCAAAAACAAUCCAAUCAUGUUUGAUCUAUCAAAAUAUAACAUAUUGAAAAUAGAGAAUUGCAAAAUUUUGCUUGAAUCAAGCAUGUGAUAAUAACACUAUUUUCCUUACAAGAAUACUUAUUGUUCCAUUCAUAGUUUUUAAAUACUAUGAGUUUUGCAGUAUGAGGUGAAGUACUAUUGAUAAUUCCAAAAUUUUUACCUGACGUGCAUGAUAAUUUGGUGAUAGAUAUUUUAAGCAAAACGUUUGCAUUCAUAAUGCAUACAUGCUUCAAGAUUCAAGGGAGAUGCUCAUAUCCGCGCAUUUACAUUUUCUUAUAUGAGUUUCAAAAUAAAGAUUCAUAAUAAAAGAAAAUUCACAACACAAUUAGAAAAAAACAAUCAUAAUAAAAGAAAAAUCACAACACAAUUAUUCACAACACAAUUAGAAAAAACAAUCAUAAUAAAUGAAAAUUCACAACACAAUUAGAAAAACAAUGUUGUAUCAUUUUCCAACUAUACGACAUCUUUUUUUUUUGGGAACUCCAACUAUACGACAUCAUGGAUAUCUCGAUGAUCAUAGAUGGAAUAUAUCUUCUAUGUUAGUGUCCAGAUCAAAAUAUAUUAUAUAAGGGUAACUUAAGCUUAUUUGAAACAACAUUAUAUCACCACUACAACUAGCAUAGCCUUCAUAGAGUGUAAAAGUAUUUAGGAUGUCUGAAUGCCAAGGGUCAGUAAAACCUUACUUGAUAAUUAAUAUAGAGGUGAAAGCAUAUAGCAUUAGGGACUGUGAUGUUCUAAGAUGCGCUAAUAGAGGCAUGAAAAAUUAGAGAUUCCCAAAACUAAUUUGCUCAAUACAAUUAACAGUUUAAAUAAAUUGCCACCAGCACGUGCUAGUUUUUUCUACCAUUUCUACUGUAUCACAACAAAGUUAUGACCAGGUUUGAGUAAUACAAACCUUAUAAUAUGGAAGGGAAAUUGUGUAACAAGUGACAAUAUAAAGGGUAGAGAGAACACAAAUUCGCUGCAAAAUCUUUCUCUAGAUAUUGGAUAGCUCUCUGCUAGUUCUUAAGCUAUCUCUACUACCAAGGUCAAGUCUACGAGUGUAAUAUUUUGCUACUCUAGCGCAUGACACUCUUGUCACUGUAGAAUAAUAGGAUUGUGUAUAAUGUGUGGAUUGAUUGUAUUGCAUUGAGUUCUAGGCUGGUAUAUAUUGGGUUACAUGACUUGAGGGCAAGCCUCUCCUACGGUAUGGUAGAGUCCGGAUACAAUCCUAACUUACAUAUUAUAGAGAUACCUCAAAUAUACUCUAAUAGUCACUCCCAAAGCAUUUGUCCAUUGCAUAGAGAGUCCUGCAAGACCUAUCUUCGUCUAGCUAUUUAGAUAAACAAGGACGAAUUUUAUCAUCUCACAUAGUUGGCAAUGAACCUAAGUUUUGUGUAGCUACAACCCCUUAGAGCACCACAUCUUAGAAAGGCCUGACGGAUGGGGUAUAUGUCAGCCCAAUCCAAGAUUAUUUGUCGUGCUUGGAUUAUAGAGAAACUCCGCUCGUUGAAAUGUAUGGUGUCAUACUAGUCUGAGUUCCAAGUGUCAUAAAACUAGCCAUUGGGAAUUUGGGACUAUCAUUGCACCCACCUAAUGGUUUGCUGAACCCACUAAUGGUUCAUUGGACCUACUAGAUUGUCUGGUCAAGGGAUGGAUAUGGAUGUCUACAAAUCCGAAUUUUCCAUACACGUAGUCGCUAAAGACGCCAAUAUGGAUAUUCAUAUUUGUAUCUAUUUUUAAUAUGGAUACUAUAAUUUAUGUAUCCAAAUAUGAUUUUUAAUUUUUUUAUCCUAUUUCAUAUCCAUAUUCGAAAUAAAUGUGGAAUAUGGAUCAUGUCCAUAUCCGCAAAAAAAACCUAGUGAAACCAUCUUAAAUUUAUCUCCAUCACUAAUUACUUAAUGAUGUGCACCAAUUAAACUAUUUAAAUGCUAUCCAUAUGAUAAAUGACUAAAAAUGUUAACUCUAAUAUUACAAAUGAUAUAAAAAAUUAAGUAUGAUUAUAUUAAUUCAUUAUUAAUGAAGAAAUUAUUUCAUAUGUGUUAGGAAAUAGGUUUAUUCCUGUUUUAGCUUAUGUGAACCCGAUCAUCUCCUAACUGUGGGGCUAGUUUCCGGAUCCAACACGCCUCCUUGGCAGGCCAUUGUGCCGUGAUCUCAGGACCUCAUGCCUAGCUUCCCGUGAUUCCAUCCUCGUUCUGUUGCUAUAAGCUAGGAAGGUUGUCACGUGGCUUAGCCGAUAUAUGUAAUUGCCUAUCCCUUUUGCAAUGCUAUCCACAUAUUCUGCGUGAUUAUUUUCUCUAUCAUGGUAUCAUAGACCGUCACAAUAUGUGACCUAGCUUCCUCUUACCCCACCUGCCGCCGCCGCCAUGGCGCCUCCACCGCCCAAGCCCACCGACCCACUAGAUCCUGCUGCCGCCGUUCAUGCCAAGGACGCGGAGACUGCCAAGGAUCGUGAGGCUCAUGAAGCUGCGGAGAAGAAGGCCGCUGAGGAGCGCCAGGCCCUUUCUACCGCCACCGAAGCUGCGGAGAAGGCCGCUGCAGACGCACCGGCUCGCGUCCGGGAGGCCAUCGCUGCUCUCGAGCGUGAGCACACUGCUGCCCUCGAGGCCGAGCGCUCGGCCGCCGUCGCCAGGCUCCUUGUCAACCCUCCCAAGGCCGACCGUGAUGCCGGCGGCGCCGAUCCAGAUGCUCUUUUCGAGGCCGCCACUAUUGCCAACCUCCACGCCCAGGCGGCCUCGGUUCAAAACAUCCAUGCCCUCAUGCUAGUUGUUUUGGAUCCCUUGUCCUCCCACUAAAAUCUCUAGCAUGACCUCAUGCUCCUUGCAUCAGAGCGCUACUCUCUUGACGAUCACGUCCUCCUCGACAACAUCUUCACUGCCCCGGCAUGGCGCCGCAUGGACGCCGUUGUGUGCUCCUGGCUGUUUGGCACCUUGUCGGCCGAACUGAUGGAGACCGUCCGCAUUCGCGAUGACACGGCGUGGCUCACCUGGCUGCGCAUCGAGCAGUAGUUCCAGGGGAACCACGAGACCCGGGCUCUUCGCCUCGAUGCUGAGUUCCGCCUCUUCGAGCAAGGCGAUCUUUCCAUCACCGGUUACUGCCGAAAGAUGAAGGGCAUGGCCGACGAUCUGGGUGACCUUGGUGAGGUCAUCCAAGACUGGACCCUUGUCCUGAACAUCCUACGUGGCCUCAACGAGCAGUACAGCCACAUGGCAGCCCUCCUGAAGCGCUCUCGGCCGUUCCCCACGUUCGACGAGGUUCGGAAUGAUCUCCUCCUUGAAGAGCUCACCAUCACCAAGACACGGCCAUCCUCCACACCCUCCACGGCACUAGCCUCCGCGACGCCUAAACCUGCGCCUCCCUCUCAGCCGGCUGCUCCCGCCGGUGCUCAGGGCGCCCCUUCCGGCAACAGUGGCAAGUCCAGGAAUCGGCGCAAGGGCGGCAACAAGGGCGGCACUCCGUGGCCGUCCUUCUACAAUCCAUUGACCGGCAUCAUCACCAUGUGGCCUGGUCCCAAUGGACAGCAGCAGAAAGGUGGAGCCGGCUCCCAGCAGCAGCGAUCUCAGCCGCAGCAGGUGCCUCCCUCUGGGUACAACGCCCAACAGCAGGCACUCCUUGCUGCUGCUGCUCCCUACGGUGCUCCCCUGAUGUACUCCGGCUACCCCAGCUUCCCCGUCAACCCUCCAACGCAACUACAGCAGCAGCUACACUCGCAACAGAUGUAGCUACCUGCUCCACAGCAGCUGCAGCUACCUGCUCCGCCUCCAGUGCAGCAGCAGCAUCCGGCCCCGGCCACGCUCUCCUGGAGUCCUGGGGGCGGCUCCUUGACUCUCAAUCAGCCAGGCACGACUGAUUGGGUCAUGGACUCAGGUGCUUCAAAUCACAUGACGCUAGACACCGGUAACAUUUCCUUGUUCCGCCCAUCACGUUCAUCUUAUCCUUCAUCUAUCGUUGUUGGCAAUGGGUCUGUUCUCCCAGUCUCAUCAGUUGGUCAUUCUGUUCUGCUCGGUCCUUUAUACCUUAAUAAUAUUCUUGUUGCCCCUAUUAUUAUUAAGAGCCUUAUUUCCUUCAGAUAGUUCACCACUGAUAAUCACUUCAUUCCAGGAAUGUGAUCGCCAGGUGCAAUAGCUCGGGUCCCCUCUACUAUAUGCACCUUCCGGAGCCUAACCAGCCACCAUCUUCUGCCUUUGUCGCCACUGCACCUGCUGCUCCUACCGACUUGUGGCAUCGUCGGCUCGGCCACCCCGGUCAUGGGGCGCUUUCCAAGCUUGCCAGCUCGUCUAGCAUCUUAUGUAACAGGGGCGUUUUCGAGUCUGUCUGUCAUGCAUGUCAGCUGGGUCGCCACACUCAUUUGCCCUUUGCUAGUUCUACGUCUCGUGCCCUUAAAAAUUUAGAUUUAAUUCAUUGUGAUAUGUGGACA